This 484-nucleotide ribosomal RNA is filed under the name uncultured bacterium. RNAcentral describes it as "partial 16S ribosomal RNA". It matches the Rfam family "Bacterial small subunit ribosomal RNA", at positions 30 to 507 of the family's 1533-position model. The record is from RNAcentral.
AUUGAACGCUGGCGGCAGGCCUAACACAUGCAAGUCGAGCGGAUGAAGGGAGCUUGCUCCUGGAUUCAGCGGCGGACGGGUGAGUAAUGCCUAGGAAUCUGCCUGGUAGUGGGGGAUAACGUCCGGAAACGGGCGCUAAUACCGCAUACGUCCUGAGGGAGAAAGUGGGGGAUCCUCGGACCUCACGCUAUCAGAUGAGCCUAGGUCGGAUUAGCUAGUUGGUGGGGUAAAGGCCUACCAAGGCGACGAUCCGUAACUGGUCUGAGAGGAUGAUCAGUCACACUGGAACUGAGACACGGUCCAGACUCCUACGGGAGGCAGCAGUGGGGAAUAUUGGACAAUGGGCGAAAGCCUGAUCCAGCCAUGCCGCGUGUGUGAAGAAGGUCUUCGGAUUGUAAAGCACUUUAAGUUGGGAGGAAGGGCAGUAAGUUAAUACCUUGCUGUUUUGACGUUACCAACGGAAUAAGCACCGGCUAACUUCGUG